Molecule: ribosomal RNA, 406 nt
Filed under: uncultured bacterium
Lineage: Bacteria
Description: partial 16S ribosomal RNA
Rfam family: Bacterial small subunit ribosomal RNA
Source: RNAcentral
GACGAACGCUGGCGGCGUGCCUAAUACAUGCAAGUCGAACGAGGGGCGGACGGGUGAGGAAUGUAUGGGGAUCUGCGCGAUAGAGGGGGAGAAAAACGGGAAAAGGUGGCUAAUACGGCAUACUAUCGGAUGAAACCAUAUGGGAUUAGCUAGUAGGUGGGGUAAAGGCUCACCUAGGCGACGAUCUCUAGCUGUUCUGAGAGGAUGAUCAUCCCCACUGGAACUGAGACACGGCCCAGACUCCUCCGGUAGGCAGCAGUGGGGAAUAUUGCACAAUGGGCGCAAGCCUGAUGCAGCCAUGCCGCGUGUAUGAAGAAGGCCUUCGGGUUGUAAAGUACUUUCAGCGGGGAGGCGUUACCCGCAGAAGAAGCACCGGCUAACUCCGUGCCAGCAGCCGCGGUAAUAC